Molecule: ribosomal RNA, 253 nt
Filed under: uncultured bacterium
Lineage: Bacteria
Description: partial 16S ribosomal RNA
Rfam family: Bacterial small subunit ribosomal RNA
Source: RNAcentral
UACGGGGGGUGCGAGCGUUGUCCGGAAUCACUGGGCGUAAAGGGCGCGUAGGUGGUCUGAUAAGGGUGUGGUGAAAGCCCGGGGCUCAACCCCGGGUCGGCCGUGCCGACUGUUGGACUAGAGUGCUGUAGGGGCAGGCGGAAUUCCGGGUGUAGCGGUGGAAUGCGUAGAGAUCCGGAAGAACACCGGUGGCGAAGGCGGUCUGCUGGGGUAAUGCUGACACUGAGACACGAAGGCCAGGGGAGCAAACGGG